This 378-nucleotide unclassified non-coding RNA is filed under the name uncultured bacterium. Its description in RNAcentral is "contains 16S-23S intergenic spacer region". The record is from RNAcentral.
UCCGGUUUGUCACCGGCAGUCUCGCAUGAGUCCCCAACUGAAUGCUGGCAACAUGCGACGGGGGUUGCGCUCGUUGCGGGACUUAACCCAACAUCUCACGACACGAGCUGACGACAGCCAUGCAGCACCUGUACGAGUGUCCCGAAGGAGGGCCCCUGUUUCCAGGGGCUUUCACUCGUAUGUCAAGCCCAGGUAAGGUUCUUCGCGUUGCUUCGAAUUAAACCACAUGCUCCGCUGCUUGUGCGGGCCCCCGUCAGUUCCUUUGAGUUUCAGCCUUGCGGCCGUACUCCCCAGGCGGGGCACUUAAUGCGUCAGCGCCGGCACCCAGGGGGUCGCUCCCCCAGGCACCUAGUGCCCAUCGUUUACGGCGUGGACUAC